Otolemur garnettii (small-eared galago) is the source of this 109-nucleotide small nuclear RNA. The record is from Ensembl. NCBI's taxonomy places the organism in Eukaryota, Metazoa, Chordata, Mammalia, Primates, Galagidae.
GUGCUUGCUUUGGCAGCACAAAUGCUAAAAUUGGAAUGAUACAGAGAAGAUACAUCCAUGGCCCCUGCGCAAGGAUGACAGGCAAAUUCAUGCAGUGCUCCACAUUUAA